AACGAACGCUGGCGGCAUGCCUAACACAUGCAAGUCGAACGAGCCCUUCGGGGCUAGUGGCGCACGGGUGCGUAACGCGUGGGAAUCUGCCCUUGGGUUCGGAAUAACAGUGAGAAAUUACUGCUAAUACCGGAUGAUGUCUUCGGACCAAAGAUUUAUCGCCCAAGGAUGAGCCCGCGUAGGAUUAGCUAGUUGGUGGGGUAAUGGCCUACCAAGGCGACGAUCCUUAGCUGGUCUGAGAGGAUGAUCAGCCACACUGGGACUGAGACACGGCCCAGACUCCUACGGGAGGCAGCAGUGGGGAAUAUUGGACAAUGGGCGAAAGCCUGAUCCAGCAAUGCCGCGUGAGUGAUGAAGGCCUUAGGGUUGUAAAGCUCUUUUACCCGGGAUGAUAAUGACAGUACCGGGAGAAUAAGCGCCGGCUAACUCCGUG
RNAcentral lists this ribosomal RNA (433 nucleotides) under uncultured bacterium. RNAcentral describes it as "partial 16S ribosomal RNA". It matches the Rfam family "Bacterial small subunit ribosomal RNA", at positions 29 to 507 of the family's 1533-position model. The record is from RNAcentral.